This 746-nucleotide ribosomal RNA is filed under the name uncultured Finegoldia sp. Its description in RNAcentral is "bacterial SSU rRNA". It matches the Rfam family "Bacterial small subunit ribosomal RNA", at positions 28 to 776 of the family's 1533-position model. Lineage: Bacteria; Bacillati; Bacillota; Tissierellia; Tissierellales; Peptoniphilaceae. The record is from RNAcentral.
GACGAACACUGGCGGCGUGCUUAACACAUGCAAGUCGAACGGGAUUUAGUAGACAGAAGCUUCGGUGGAAGAUUACUAAUGAGAGUGGCGAACGGGUGAGUAACGCGUGAGCAACCUGCCUAUGACAGUGGGAUAGCCUCGGGAAACCGGGAUUAAUACCGCAUAAAAUCGUAGAAACACAUGUUUCAACGGUCAAAGAUUUAUCGGUCAUAGAUGGGCUCGCGUCUGAUUAGCUAGUUGGUGAGAUAACAGCCCACCAAGGCGACGAUCAGUAGCCGGUCUGAGAGGAUGAACGGCCACAUUGGAACUGAGACACGGUCCAAACUCCUACGGGAGGCAGCAGUGGGGAAUAUUGCACAAUGGGGGAAACCCUGAUGCAGCGACGCCGCGUGAACGAAGAAGGUAUUCGUAUCGUAAAGUUCUGUCCUAUGGGAAGAUAAUGACGGUACCAUAAGAAAAAGCCCCGGCUAACUACGUGCCAGCAGCCGCGGUAAUACGUAGGGGGCUAGCGUUGUCCGGAAUCACUGGGCGUAAAGGGUUCGCAGGCGGAAAUGCAAGUCAGGUGUAAAAGGCAGUAGCUUAACUACUGUAAGCAUUUGAAACUGCAUAUCUUGAGAAGAGUAGAGGUAAGUGGAAUUUUUAGUGUAGCGGUGAAAUGCGUAGAUAUUAAAAAGAAUACCGGUGGCGAAGGCGACUUACUGGGCUCAUUCUGACGCUGAGGAACGAAAGCGUGGGUAGCAAACAGG